AUUGAACGCUGGCGGCAGGCCUAACACAUGCAAGUCGAGCGAGCGGCGGACGGGUGAGUAAUGUAUGGGGACUGCCCGAUAGCGGGGGAUCACGACUGGAAACGGUGGCUAAUACCGCAUACUAUCCGAUACCCCAUGUGGGAAUAGCUAGUAGGUAAGGUAAUGGCUUACCUAGGCGACGAUCCCUAGCCGGUCUGAGAGGAUGCUCAGCCACACUGGGACUGAGACACGGCCCAGACUCCUACGGAGGCAGCAGUGGGGAAUAGUGCGCAAUGGGCGCAAGCCUGAUGCAGCCAUGCCGCGUGUAUGAAGAAGGCCCUAGGGUUGUAAAGUACUUUCAGUCGGGAGGCGUUACCGACAGAAGAAGCACCGGCUAACUCCGUGCCAGCCGCCGCGGUAAUUC
Molecule: ribosomal RNA, 403 nt
Filed under: uncultured bacterium
Lineage: Bacteria
Description: partial 16S ribosomal RNA
Rfam family: Bacterial small subunit ribosomal RNA
Source: RNAcentral